CGACUAUAUCAGAUUUGUUAUUAUUUUGGAACCUUCUGUCUGUCUAUCAGGGCCUGACAUACUUACCAAAAUGGCAAUGGCAGAUACUUUAUUCUUUAACGGGAAACAGGAUAAAUACCCGUACCAUGUCAACUAUCCUCCGAACGUCCCUAAAUAUCCAAGUUCUCAAGAAAUGUUCCGGUAAGUUGAACCGCAUCAUUUUCUUUUAAGAAUUCAUUACAUGGACACAAUUUACCGUAUUCUCUUAUCCACCGUGACAACAGACAUUAUAUC
Molecule: long non-coding RNA, 273 nt
Filed under: Mytilus galloprovincialis (Mediterranean mussel)
Lineage: Eukaryota; Metazoa; Mollusca; Bivalvia; Mytilida; Mytilidae
Source: RNAcentral